UUUGUGCCCUGAGCCCGGGCGCAGCGGCCGCAGCAGCUCCGGGCGUCCGUUCGGGAGCCCCGCCGUCUCUCGGCCCGUCCCCGGUAUGCGGCUCCAGUUGUGAGCACCGGCGACCCGGGGACGCCCGGCCGCACAACUACCUCAGCGCAGCGGUUGCUGCAGCGGCCCCAGGUGAGUCCCGACCUCCGGGCUGGGGGCUCCGGGCACCCCCAGGACACGCCCUGCGCCCCCCUCUCCCGUUCUUUGUCUGUCUCCGCCGGCGGCAGCCGGAGCUGCGUUCUUGGCUCCCUAUUGGUUGCUCCAAGCCGGUAGGCCAUGACGUUGCUUUAUUUGCAUAUGACAUUGAGACGUCACCAAGGCCAGCCCCGCCUUCCAGGCUUGCAUGGGUGCUUGUCCUCUGGUGACCCGGUGGGCGCUAUGUCGUGCCCAGCCGGCCGAGGGUUGAAGAGACGCUGAAAGACAAGCGGGAUCCGAAGGGACUCGGCGGUUUCCUGGGCUAAUCUAGGGACUGGGGUCAGGCCUCUCAUUUGUUUUUUCCUUGUGACCUGAGAGAGGGUAGGACAGCAAAGCUCGAUUUAAGUUGAGAGGGCGGUAAGUAGAUGGAGCUUCAGACUCCAGGUCCUGGAGACACUACCAGAUGGUAGCGGAUCCCCUCUGUCUUCAGGCUCCGCCCCCUAACAUAAUAACAUCCUUCUAAUCCCUGACAUGUGUGCAGAGCCUGAGUUGAUGUCAUUUUCAGCCUACAAAUAUUGAGGGUCUUAAGCCCCACUUCACGGAAGAGGAAACUGAGACUCAGAGAGACGUAGUUUACUGGAGAUCUCAGCCAAUUAGAAUCACACUCACUAAGUGGUAGAUUCCUUAGCUGAAGUAUAAGCUACAUGCUUACAUACAUCUACUGAGGACCCUAUCUUGGGUUCAGCACCAACCACAAUUUGAUGGGAUGCUUCAGUCUUCAUGAUCCUGGACAUUUUCCCAGGAGGUCUCUGAAAAUUGGGUCUCUUACAAGGCCCUGACCUCCUCUGCCUUCUUUCUACUUCAAAACCCAAUAAAUGGCCGUCUCCCAGCUGUUUUGACCACAGAAAGGUGAGUCACUAGUUGCCUGCCUCCAGGUGUCUCCAGGGCAGAUGUUGUUGAGAGGGAGUUGGGAGUUCCCUCUGUGGGCCUCCCAUCAGAGCUGUCAGCUGGGAGAACCAGACCCUUCCCUGGCAUUAGUGAUGCAGAGCUUAUGCUGUUUCCUGAGGCUGCUUCCAGAGUGACAGAAGGAUGUCUCUUACUUUCCAAGUAAGUAGAUCUGGAGUCCUUCCCAGGUUGAGGGUCGCUCAAGAAUGGCCUGGGCUAGGGUUGGCUUAGGCCUCCAGUGCUAUUCUAGGCACAGCCUCUGUAGUAUUAAGGGAAUGGUUCUUCCUGGAGCAGAGCCAGGAAUCUGAGAACCAGGAAGCCAGCAGGCUAGGAAAGAAAACCCAGGAGGCUCUCCUAGUGGUCAAAGGAGGGGGGCAGUCAUAGCUGGCUGGUUGCUACCAUCUCUCCUGGCUGUCACUCACUUCUGUAUGAUCUCCACCAGGGAGCUUCUCACUUGACAUGUCAACAGUUGAAAAGGCUCAUUGCAGGGACUGGUGCACAGUGUGAACCCUGGGAAAUGCAUGCAAAAGUUUGAUGCCAGGGACCAGAGAUCUACAGGGACCAGAGACCAGGGCCUGUGUCUGAUUUCCCUGUUUCCUGUGUAUUAUAUUUUUGGAUAUUACCUGUUGAGGUUUUUCUGAUUGUAUGUAUUCUGCAUUGCCACACCACCACUAAGCUAUAGCUUUAUUGGGUAGAUUCAUGUUCCCAAUUUGAUAUCACCAUCCCUAAAACAGGAGACUUGUUGUCUUGGUCCAGGGAAGGAGGCUUGGGUUUGAAGGCUUGGAUCUUGGUCCAAAGCUUGUGUUUAUCCUCAAGGGAUCCCUGGAUCUGACAGCUUCCUUCUUCCACUGUCUAUCACUGACAUGUGGUCUCACUGGACAGGAUUCUUUCUCUUGGCUAGUGAUGCUGAGUUUGAACAAGAGUCUAGGGGAAAGGGGAGUUAGAGUAGUGGGGCAGACCUGUAGGCACAGGUCCUCCUCAUCUGAGGGUUGCCCAAUCUCAUGGUAAGAUUGUAGAACUGAGCCGGGCGUGGUGGCACUCGCCUUUAAUCCCAGCACUCGGGAGGCAGAGGCAGGCGGAUUUCUGAAUUCGAGGCCAGCCUGGUCUACAAAGUGAGUUCCAGGACAGCCAGGGCUACACAGAGAAACCCUGUCUCGAAAAACCC
Molecule: long non-coding RNA, 2284 nt
Filed under: Mus musculus (house mouse)
Lineage: Eukaryota; Metazoa; Chordata; Mammalia; Rodentia; Muridae
Description: long non-coding RNA chr2:155381846-155384130
Source: RNAcentral